CCUACGGGAGGCUGCAGUGAGGAAUAUUGGUCAAUGGACGAAAGCCUGAACCAGCCACGUAGCGUGAAGGAUGACUGCCCUAUGGGUUGUAAACUUCUUUUAUAAAGGAAUAAAACGAGGCACGUCUGCCUUCUCGCAUGUACCUCAUUACUAACGCUCGGCCAAACUCGUGCCCGCAGCCGCGGUAAUACGGAGGGUUGCAGCGUUUACCGGACUUAUUUGGGUUAAAGGGAUGGUCGUUGGGUUGGUAAGUCAGUUGUGAAAGUUUUCGGUCCAACCAUAAAAUUGCAAUUGAUACUGGUAGUCUUGAGUACAGUUGAGGUAUGCGGAAUGCGUGGUGUAGCGGUGAAAUGCGUAGAUAUCACGAAGAACCCCGAUUGCGAAGGCAGCUUACUAGACUGUAACUGACAGUGAGGCGCGAAAGCGUGGGGAUCAAACAGGAUUAGAUACCCUGGUAGUC
Molecule: ribosomal RNA, 460 nt
Filed under: uncultured bacterium
Lineage: Bacteria
Description: partial 16S ribosomal RNA
Rfam family: Bacterial small subunit ribosomal RNA
Source: RNAcentral